Molecule: long non-coding RNA, 837 nt
Filed under: Rhinopithecus bieti (black snub-nosed monkey)
Lineage: Eukaryota; Metazoa; Chordata; Mammalia; Primates; Cercopithecidae
Description: lncRNA (ENSRBIG00000045957.1)
Source: RNAcentral
UUCAACAUAGGAAAUCUGGGGUUACAACGUUCAGUCAAGUAAAGGGAACUGGUAGUGGAUGGAAACAAUACCCUCGCCCUCCGGGGGAGCAUAUCCACUGGUCUCCACGCCUUCCUCCUUCCCCUCCUGCCUCUGUGUGCUUUCCCUUCCCUGUCAGCCAUCCCAGAUGUUAAUUUAAACCCGAUCUCUCCCAUGUAGGUCGCAUCAGCAUGUCGAGCUCUGCAGGUGCCAGCACACUGGAACACAUGCUUGGGUUGGCGGGUGGUUGGAGGAGUGAGCUGUGCUUUUUCAUCCCCACAUCCCCAGCGCCCAGCAUGGAGAAGGGAUGUGAUCAAUAUCUGUUGGAAAUGGAACAAGCCUCAGGAUAAACAGCCCCAUCCUGGGAUGCGCCAUACAGUGGUCAUUGUUCUAAAGGCUCGAUCGGGGAAACUGAGUUUCAAAAGGCCUAAGUCGCGGACCCAGCUGGUCUCUAUCAGGAGCGGCCAGGCGGCUGGGGCAGGUGCUGCUGCUCCCUCCAUCCUCAUUGCAGGGAGUAGGUCAGAGGCGUUGGACCAACCUCGUUGGGGACUGGGGCUCAUAGCUUGUCUUGCUGGCAAGUGGGCUUGAGAGGAGGGAUGUGAAGGGGACAGUGCAGCAUUUUGCUCAGAGCUGGGUGCCCUGCCCAGCCCCACCAGGCCCUGGAGUCACUAUUGGCAGACAGAAGGGACCAUGGCUAUUUAAACUCUAUGCUCAUCCCGGCCCAAACGAUGCUGCACUGAUGCUCAGGUAAAGGGUUGGCUAAGAAGGGGGACAGGCCACCCACAGUGCCACAUGGUGUGGCUUGGACGCACCUGUCAU